Molecule: ribosomal RNA, 1729 nt
Filed under: metagenome
Description: bacterial LSU rRNA
Rfam family: Bacterial large subunit ribosomal RNA
Source: RNAcentral
UUAUGCGUUGUUGGGUAGGGGAGCGUUCUGUAAGCCUGUGAAGGUGUACUGUGAGGUAUGCUGGAGGUAUCAGAAGUGCGAAUGCUGACAUAAGUAACGAUAAAGCGGGUGAAAAGCCCGCUCGCCGGAAGACCAAGGGUUCCUGUCCAACGUUAAUCGGGGCAGGGUGAGUCGACCCCUAAGGCGAGGCCGAAAGGCGUAGUCGAUGGGAAACAGGUUAAUAUUCCUGUACUUGGUGUUACUGCGAAGGGGGGACGGAGAAGGCUAUGUUGGCCGGGCGACGGUUGUCCCGGUUUAAGCGUGUAGGCUGGUUUUCCAGGCAAAUCCGGAAAAUCAAGGCUGAGGCGUGAUGACGAGGCACUACGGUGCUGAAGCAACAAAUGCCCUGCUUCCAGGAAAAGCCUCUAAGCAUCAGGUAACAUCAAAUCGUACCCCAAACCGACACAGGUGGUCAGGUAGAGAAUACCAAGGCGCUUGAGAGAACUCGGGUGAAGGAACUAGGCAAAAUGGUGCCGUAACUUCGGGAGAAGGCACGCUGAUAUGUAGGUGAAGCGACUUGCUCGUGGAGCUGAAAUCAGUCGAAGAUACCAGCUGGCUGCAACUGUUUAUUAAAAACACAGCACUGUGCAAACACGAAAGUGGACGUAUACGGUGUGACGCCUGCCCGGUGCCGGAAGGUUAAUUGAUGGGGUAGCGCAAGCGAAGCUCUUGAUCGAAGCCCCGGUAAACGGCGGCCGUAACAAUAACGGUCCUAAGGUAGCGAAAUUCCUUGUCGGGUAAGUUCCGACCUGCACGAAUGGCGUAAUGAUGGCCAGGCUGUCUCCACCCGAGACUCAGUGAAAUUGAACUCGCUGUGAAGAUGCAGUGUACCCGCGGCAAGACGGAAAGACCCCGUGAACCUUUACUAUAGCUUGACACUGAACAUUGAGCCUUGAUGUGUAGGAUAGGUGGGAGGCUUUGAAGUGUGGACGCCAGUCUGCAUGGAGCCGACCUUGAAAUACCACCCUUUAAUGUUUGAUGUUCUAACGUUGACCCGUAAUCCGGGUUGCGGACAGUGUCUGGUGGGUAGUUUGACUGGGGCGGUCUCCUCCUAAAGAGUAACGGAGGAGCACGAAGGUUGGCUAAUCCUGGUCGGACAUCAGGAGGUUAGUGCAAUGGCAUAAGCCAGCUUGACUGCGAGCGUGACGGCGCGAGCAGGUGCGAAAGCAGGUCAUAGUGAUCCGGUGGUUCUGAAUGGAAGGGCCAUCGUUCAACGGAUAAAAGGUACUCCGGGGAUAACAGGCUGAUACCGCCCAAGAGUUCAUAUCGACGGCGGUGUUUGGCACCUCGAUGUCGGCUCAUCACAUCCUGGGGCUGAAGUAGGUCCCAAGGGUAUGGCUGUUCGCCAUUUAAAGUGGUACGCGAGCUGGGUUUAGAACGUCGUGAGACAGUUCGGUCCCUAUCUGCCGUGGGCGCUGGAGAACUGAGGGGGGCUGCUCCUAGUACGAGAGGACCGGAGUGGACGCAUCACUGGUGUUCGGGUUGUCAUGCCAAUGGCACUGCCCGGUAGCUAAAUGCGGAAGAGAUAAGUGCUGAAAGCAUCUAAGCACGAAACUUGCCCCGAGAUGAGUUCUCCCUGACUCCUUGAGAGUCCUGAAGGAACGUUGAAGACGACGACGUUGAUAGGCCGGGUGUGUAAGCGCAGCGAUGCGUUGAGCUAACCGGUACUAAUGAACCGUGAGGCUUAACC